RNAcentral lists this ribosomal RNA (273 nucleotides) under uncultured bacterium. RNAcentral describes it as "partial 16S ribosomal RNA". It matches the Rfam family "Bacterial small subunit ribosomal RNA", at positions 524 to 796 of the family's 1533-position model. The record is from RNAcentral.
UACGAAGGGGGCUAGCGUUGUUCGGAAUUACUGGGCGUAAAGGGCGCGCAGGCGGCUUUGUAAGUUGGGCGUGAAAGGCCUGGGCUUAACCCGGGAAUGGCGCUUGAGACUGCAAGGCUCGAGUACGGGAGAGGAUGGUGGAAUUCCCAGUGUAGAGGUGAAAUUCGUAGAUAUUGGGAAGAACACCGGUGGCGAAGGCGGCCAUCUGGACCGUAACUGACGCUGAGGCGCGAAAGCGUGGGGAGCAAACAGGAUUAGAAACCCGAGUAGUCC